GUUUAAAUAGUGUUAUUGCACAUCAACUUUUCAUGUUGAAAGAAAUAUUAUUAUUUUUAAAUA
This 63-nucleotide transfer RNA is filed under the name Valvata piscinalis. Its description in RNAcentral is "tRNA-Glu". Lineage: Eukaryota; Metazoa; Mollusca; Gastropoda; Valvatidae. The record is from RNAcentral.